This is a non-coding RNA of Caenorhabditis elegans, 148 nucleotides long. Lineage: Eukaryota; Metazoa; Nematoda; Chromadorea; Rhabditida; Rhabditidae. The record is from Ensembl.
ACGACGGGCGGUUGAGGUGAUGAGAAAACGGGGCAGAUGUUGAUGAUGUCUUUUCGCACCGUCUGCGUUACUCAAUUUCCUGUUAUCUAUCGUUUGUGGAACGACGAGAUACUUAAAAUAACGAGGAACCGCAGACACAAAGAGAAAU